Molecule: ribosomal RNA, 423 nt
Filed under: Pristimantis simonsii (Paramo Andes frog)
Lineage: Eukaryota; Metazoa; Chordata; Amphibia; Anura; Strabomantidae
Description: partial 12S ribosomal RNA
Rfam family: Bacterial small subunit ribosomal RNA
Source: RNAcentral
UAAACUGGGAUUAGAUACCCCACUAUGUCUAGUCGUAAACUUUAACUUACAUUCUCUAUCGCCAGGGUACUACGAGCAAAGCUUAAAACCCAAAGGACUUGACGGUGCCCCACAUCCUUCUAGAGGAGCCUGUCCUGUAACCGAUACUCCACGUUCAACCUCACCAUUUUUAGCCAAUCAGCCUGUAUACUUCCGUCGUCAGCUUACCGCGUGAGCGAGUUCAGUAAGCUUAAUGUCAUCCGCCAAUACGUCAGGUCAAAGUGCAGCAAAUAAAAUGGCAAGAGAUGGGCUACACUUUCUAUAUUAGAAAACACGAAAGAUUAUGUGAAACCAUUAUCAGAAGGCGGAUUUAGCAGUAAGAGGAAAAUAGAAUAUUCUUCUUAACUUGGCACUGGGGUGUGUACACACCGCCCGUCACCCUCA